This 301-nucleotide long non-coding RNA is filed under the name Gopherus agassizii (Agassiz's desert tortoise). Its description in RNAcentral is "lncRNA (ENSGAGG00000004532.1)". The record is from RNAcentral. Lineage: Eukaryota; Metazoa; Chordata; Testudines; Testudinidae.
GUGACCCUCCCACACAGUACAGUAACUUAUAUACAUACCUGGAGGAAGGGAUGCUUUGCUUUGGGCUUCUUAAAAAUAUUUGGUGGUGGCUGCACCCUCCAACGUGCUCAUAGGACCGGACACCGAUGCACCCGCAAAGGCUGGCCUGGACGAGCCUCUGCUAAAGCUACUCGAAGGUUCAGGAUCCUAGUCAAUGGAACAAAAGGAAGACUCGAGUGCCUGUAAGACCAGAACAAGCCUGAAAUUGUAACCAGAUGGUGUCCCGCCCUGCCAGAGUUGCCUCCAGCCAUCAGGGUUCCAG